This 76-nucleotide transfer RNA is filed under the name Bifidobacterium longum. RNAcentral's name for it is "tRNA-Thr". It matches the Rfam family "tRNA". Rfam says of the family: Transfer RNA (tRNA) molecules are approximately 80 nucleotides in length. Their secondary structure includes four short double-helical elements and three loops (D, anti-codon, and T loops). Further hydrogen bonds mediate the characteristic L-shaped molecular structure. tRNAs have two regions of fundamental functional importance: the anti-codon, which is responsible for specific mRNA codon recognition, and the 3' end, to which the tRNAs corresponding amino acid is attached (by aminoacyl-tRNA synthetases). tRNAs cope with the degeneracy of the genetic code in two manners: having more than one tRNA (with a specific anti-codon) for a particular amino acid; and 'wobble' base-pairing, i.e. permitting non-standard base-pairing at the 3rd anti-codon position. The record is from RNAcentral. Lineage: Bacteria; Bacillati; Actinomycetota; Actinomycetes; Bifidobacteriales; Bifidobacteriaceae.
GCUGCCGUAGCUCAGCUGGUAGAGCAGCCGUCUUGUAAGCGGCAGGUCGUCGGAUCGUAGCCGACCGGCAGCUCGA